RNA transcript from Chiroxiphia lanceolata (lance-tailed manakin), 1619 nucleotides. It is a transcript of the gene named coiled-coil domain-containing protein 173-like, with no coding region annotated. The record is from RefSeq and is a predicted model, not a curated record. The transcript has 8 exons. Lineage: Eukaryota; Metazoa; Chordata; Aves; Passeriformes; Pipridae.
GGGGAAGGGCGGCGGUCGCAGCCUUUGUGCGGGACGGGAGGAGGAGUCUCGACUCCCCGGGACAGCCGGGGCACCGGGGAGGAUCCCUCGUUCUCCCUCGGCAGUUUCCCGGAGAGGCGGCGGGGAAGGGCCGACGAUGGACCUCGAUGGGCCGGACGCCGCCCGCCGGGAGGCAGAGCUGGAGCGCGGCCGCUACUUGAGCCGCCGGGCCGUGGCCCAGGAGCAGCUGGCGCAAAUAAAGGAGCACAAGGAUCAGGCAUAUCUGGCCAAGCUAGAAAACAAAAGAGAAGGGGAACAAAUACAGAGAUUGACCCAAUUGUACCAACUGGAAAUUCAGAGAGGAAAAGAAAAGGAACAGGAGGAAAAAGUUGAACGGCAGAGGCUGCAUCAUGAAUAUGUAGCUGAACAGAAAGUAAUUAAAGCUGAAGAGAAACAAAGAGAAGACAAAGAUGAUGAUUGGAUUAAGGCUUAUAUUAAAGGUAAAGAAAUGAUGGCUGAUCUGGCAAGAGAAAAAGAUGCAGAGACUAACAGGCUGAUGCAGAAGCAGAUGGACAAAGCUUUUGAAACCUAUCUGCACAGAUGAACAAGGCAUUUAAGAUUGAAGAUGAUUGCCUUGUGAGAGGAGCUGCAGAGGUAGAAGCUGAAUACCAAAUGAAAAACAAGGAGAAAGAAGCAAGACAGAAGGCUGCCAUUGAAUCUAUUGCUGAACACAGAGCCACUGUGAUUAAGAUGAAAGAGGAAAAGGAGGAGACAGGAAAAAGAAGAGGCUGAAAAAGAACAUGAUGUGUUAAUGGAAAGCACCCGCAUCUACCAGGAAAUGGAAAAAGCCAAGAAGCAAAGACAACGUGAUGCAAACAUGGAAGUACAGAAAAUUCAGAUCCAGCAAAUGGCUGAAAAGCAGGCAAAAAAACAGCAGGAAAAGCAAGCAGACUUGGAUUACGAUGCUCAGAGAGAAACUGCUUUUCAUCAGGAUCAAGCAUUUUGGAGAUAAAGACAAAAUAUAUUUGACUACUAUCUAAGUAUCUACAAAGGAAAAGGAAGCUUGCCAUUCUCUCCUUCCAAGUUCUAUAUGCCUGCAAAACCUAUCAGAGCCCAACAGGUGAAGCUAACUCUGGAACAAGUUACAAAACAUGCUGUUUGCCAAAACGUGCCUAUACUCAACUUCAGCUCAAGAAACAAGUGCCAUAGUUCACAACUGUACUUUAACUAGUCUAAUUUUAUUAUGGAACAAAGCAGUAGAUUCACUUUUUAUGAAGUCAAGAGGUAACAACCACAGGAUUUAUACCUACUGAAAUACAGAUGCAGCAACACUGGAGUAAUGGACACCUUGCAACAGACUCCUAGCUUUAAGAUGACAUGUAGUAUAUCUGCAGCUUUCUUCUUCACAUAUGGAACGAGCCUCUUCACAGGCAGCCAUUGCUUGCACUGAACUAUGCUCAUCAGGUAAAAAAUAAAUGUGGCAUAGAAGUUACCUUUCUAGCUGACAACACAUAAGAAGGAUACAAAUUCAAUGAAAUACUUAAAACACAGCACACUGUAUUACACAUAUAAUUUGUUUUUCAUUUCAAGUUUAUUAAAACUUUAGCAGUACAAAUGAUCCAGGUUUUAGAUUAUCAAAA